Molecule: long non-coding RNA, 982 nt
Filed under: Eutrema salsugineum
Lineage: Eukaryota; Viridiplantae; Streptophyta; Magnoliopsida; Brassicales; Brassicaceae
Description: long non-coding RNA (ESAL_LNC000963)
Source: RNAcentral
UAAUUUGAAAAUAAAAAUAUAAUUAAUUAUAAAUUCAAGAAACUAUAUACAAAAAAUCAAAUGUUUUAACAAUAAAUAAUGAUUUUUUUUUUUAACACUGAUCUAUUAUUCUAUUACAAAUUAUGAGAACUAUUACAUCGACAAUUUAACAACGGACAAGUCUCCUGCCUGCAAAUACGCCAAACGAAUCUCCAUGCAUCACGUUGAAAACCUCCGGUAAGCUUGUCUCCAUUAAUCUGCAAAUUAAUAAUAAAUCGCACAUUCCGGGACUCGAAACCCAGAUCUCUUGGUAUAAAAGCAUUAAAGAUCCAUUAACCACUAGGCUAAGGAAGCUUCCACAACAAUAAAUAAUGAUUAGAAUGAGGAAAAAAAAUAAAAAUAAAAAUAAAAAAGGUCUUAAAAAACAUCAGGCGCCGUUUCCUACUCUAUAUUGCUCUUCCUUCGCUUCUCGGAUCUGCCUUCCCCGAUCUGCCUCCAUAUCAAUCUUCCUUCUCAGAUCUGCCUCCGCCACCGCAUUUAACACAUCUCUCCAGUGUAGGACGAAUCUCCAUUGCUGCCUCUCUCACAUCUGAAGCCACCGUCACCACUGUCUCGAAGUUUUCCUUUCAGUCCGUUGUCGUUGUUGCUUCUGGCGAAAUUAUUUCCCAGAUCCAAUCUCUCUGAAGAAUUUUAUGUAUCUACUAAAAGAAGAAGAAGAAACUAAAAAGAAGAAGAAGAAGAAACUAAAUGAAAAGGAACAGAAAGUAAAACUUCAAUUUCAAAAUACCAUUCUAACAUUUUGAUAAGAUCUGGUGUGAAGAUUUAGAAGAUGAAGAAGAUACGGCUGAUUUAGAGGAAGAAGAAAGAGGUAGUUAGGGAAAUAAAAAAGUAUACUGAUGCAUAUAUUUAGGUUUCGUGAUUUUGGUAGGAAUUUAUAAAAAUAUUUAAUUAAUAAAUAUAUGUUUAGUAGGAAAAUAGUAGAUAAUUUUCUAACUGAAUUUUU